Molecule: ribosomal RNA, 254 nt
Filed under: uncultured bacterium
Lineage: Bacteria
Description: partial 16S ribosomal RNA
Rfam family: Bacterial small subunit ribosomal RNA
Source: RNAcentral
UACGGGGGGAGCAAGCGUUGUUCGGAUUUACUGGGCGUAAAGGGCGCGUAGGCGGCCAGUGCAAGUCAGUUGUGAAAUCUCCGAGCUUAACUCGGAAAGGUCAACUGAUACUGCUCGGCUAGAGUGCGGAAGGGGCAACUGGAAUUCUUGGUGUAGCGGUGAAAUGCGUAGAUAUCAAGAGGAACACCUGCGGCGAAGGCGAGUUGCUGGGCCGACACUGACGCUGAAGUGCGAAAGCUAGGGGAGCGAACGGG